AUUGAACGCUGGCGGCAGGCCUAACACAUGCAAGUCGAGCGGAUGAAGGGAGCUUGCUCCUGGAUUCAGCGGCGGGCGGGUGAGUAAUGCCUAGGAAUCUGCCUGGUAGUGGGGGAUAACGUCCGGAAACGGGCGCUAAUACCGCAUACGUCCUGAGGGAGAAAGUGGGGGAUCUUCGGACCUCACGCUAUCGGAUGAGCCUAGGUCGGAUUAGCUAGUUGGUGGGGUAAAGGCCUACCAAGGCGACGAUCCGUAACUGGUCUGAGAGGAUGAUCAGUCACACUGGAACUGAGACACGGUCCAGACUCCUACGGGAGGCAGCAGUGGGGAAUAUUGGACAAUGGGCGAAAGCCUGAUCCAGCCAUGCCGCGUGUGUGAAGAAGGUCUUCGGAUUGUAAAGCACUUUAAGUUGGGAGGAAGGGCAGUAAGUUAAUACCUUGCUGUUUUGACGUUACCAACAGAAUAAGCACCGGCUAACUUCGUG
RNAcentral lists this ribosomal RNA (484 nucleotides) under uncultured bacterium. RNAcentral's name for it is "partial 16S ribosomal RNA". It matches the Rfam family "Bacterial small subunit ribosomal RNA", at positions 30 to 507 of the family's 1533-position model. The record is from RNAcentral.